UCUCUGUUGCCUGUGUCAUUAAUGUUGUAAGCGUUUUCUUUCCAUCUUCCCCAAACUCCCUUCCCCAUUUCCGGUCGAUGGCCUGCCGUUUACAGCGAAGAAUUUACCCGACUCUUCACUGUUGCAGGACAGGACAUAUCUAUGAAAACCCGGCCUUGAUACACACUCUGUUCCUGUUUGUCUGGCGAGGAAAGGAGACGAGGAGAGAGGAGAGGAUGAGUGCGGGAGCAGCAUCAGUCUUUGCAGGACGGAGACAAUAAAGUCAAUUUUUCUCAGUUUGAUUCAGCGACAGAUUCUGUGUGUUUCUAUGUGUUCACAGAAAACGGUGUCCAUAAACCAGCAGCAAAACACAUGGACCGGAUUACACUGACUGACUGGACUGGACUUUGUUUACCUUUGGUGGGGCGAAAGGUGGGGUACACCCUGGAGGAUGAGCAAAGAGGUGAGAGAGGCAGCCCUGGCAGUGUGGAGUUGCUCAGUGACAGCAAGAAAUCCUCAAAUGAUUGGAUAAAACCCGCCUAAACUAAGCUAACAGCAUGCCGCUGUAACGCACAGCCCUCCAUCCUUUCCCCUCCCAUCCCCUCUGUCACUGCACAGUUUUCGCAAUUUCAUCAGCUCCAUCGUCAAGCAUCUGGACUCUGUGGGGAUUUGACGAGUUGCGAUCGGGACCAGAUGCCUUCUAUCGCGAUGUCUCCCCACUGAGUACGAGAGCCAAAGACACAAUAAAGACUUCAUCUGUAACUAAUACAUAUUCCCGUUCACUUGCUGGUCCCGAUUGAAACAGACAUGUAAGUAUAAUAAUGAGGCUUGAUGGGCUGCGCCUUGGUGUGGCAUAGACACCGAUAACCUGGACUAUAGAUACUGCUGCUGCUGAUGACACAAGGACUUUAUGAUUAAUCAUCUACUAUACAGCUUAACCAGAGAAGAAUUACACUGCUUUGAAAGCAUGAUAAUCUAAUACAGGACGUGAACGUGGUGAGACAUUGAUUCAAGCUCUGACAAACUGAUGGUUUCAUGUAUAUAUACAUUUUAUUUUAAUGAUCAUGAAACUACCUCUUCCACUUGGCGUUUGCAUGUUCUCCCUGUGUGUGUGUGCAGGUUCUCCGGUUUCCUCCCACAGUGCAAAAACAUGUAAUAUGGGGAUUAGGUAAAGUAGACACUCUAAAUUGACCGUAGGUGUGAGAGUGGAUGGUUAUUUGUCUCUAUAUGUGGCCCUGUGAUGGACUGGUGAACUGUCCAGGAUGUACCCCGCUUAUCUCGACCCUCAUUGUGGAGGAUAGAGCGGUAGAAGAUGGAUGUAUGCAACUACCUUUAAGAGAGAUUCAUUUUAGUUUUAAUUACAUGAUUUUAUGUUCAAACUUUUCUCCUAAUUGGGUGCUGAAAGCUCAAUAUUAUAAUUUGCGAAAACAAAACUGUCUGAUUGGCUUCAUUGUUGACAUUUAUUAUUCAAAUCUCAUAAUAAUAAUUACAUAAGCUCUCCGUGAGAUGUGCACUGUCCUGAAAUCCCAUCGUGCGCAAACAAGUUAAUGGAUUUCUUUACUCUCUCUGAUUACACUUUUGUUUUAACAGUCUCCAGUCACCCUCAUGUGGAGCAUAAAGCAGUAGACAAUGAAUGAAUGCAACUAGUUUGUAAAUAAAUUUCCACUAACAAGCUUAAGUACAAAAUUUGAACUUGUAACACAGCAGCCAGUUCCUGUCAAGACCAUCUGUAAACUUUUUUUUCAAAACACUCACUCAUCUUCUACCGCUUUAUCCUCUACUCUCACACUUACAAUUAAGGUCAAUUUAGAGUGGCCAAUUUACCUAAUCCCCAAAUCUGCAUGGUUUUAGACUGUGGGAGGAAACCAGAAAGGAAGGAAAACCCAUGCACACAGAACAUGCAAAGUCUAUGCUCUUGUUCCAACCGUUCUUCUUGCUGCAAAGGCAACAGUGUAAACCACUACUUUUCAAAUACACUUACAUUAAACAUAAUUUCCAGUAAUUCAAUAUGGAUAAGAUUUGACACAAUGACAGUUUCAACAAUCAUCAUUUGAUUCACGGUAUAAAUA
Long non-coding RNA from Solea solea (common sole), 2048 nucleotides. RefSeq lists it as uncharacterized. The record is from RefSeq and is a predicted model, not a curated record. The transcript is spliced from 3 exons. NCBI's taxonomy places the organism in Eukaryota, Metazoa, Chordata, Actinopteri, Pleuronectiformes, Soleidae.